Cimex lectularius (bed bug) is the source of this 709-nucleotide long non-coding RNA. RefSeq lists it as uncharacterized. The transcript is spliced from 3 exons. The record is from RefSeq and is a predicted model, not a curated record. Lineage: Eukaryota; Metazoa; Arthropoda; Insecta; Hemiptera; Cimicidae.
UUAAGCAAAUAAAGAAAAACCGAAAGAAUAACAGAAAUUUUUUCGAACGAGCUAUUCGAGAAAUGUCAAAAUUUGUUAGGCUCAAUUUUGGAAAAGUUGGUAGGAGCUCUUUUACUUUCUUCGACAACGGGUGUAAUCUACAAACUUUCUUCGGAGUGGGAACCUUUGAUCGUGUAACAGACGAGUAAAUUGCAUGUGGACCGAAGCCCGGAGUAACAAGUUUCUGAGUACAUCGAAGGGCCGAGUUGCCUACUUGUUUUGUUCGAAACUCAUUAUAUCAGGAUCUACCUCAGCGGGAAUACAUUACGAGCACGAUACCGGAGGAAAACGGGCAAACUCUGUCUCGGACACGCGAUGGACCGAGAGACACGAAAAUGUUCUCGCAAACCGGGCCCGCCAACAAUGGUAAUAAACUUUCAAAUUAACGCGAUUUACACAUUUUAUGGCCGAAUUCAAUCAACUGGCAAUAAAUCCAGUGCCGUAAAUCGAAACGCAGCAUGGCCGAAGUGGCACGACAACUCUUCUCUUUCAUCCACAGCGCAAAAAUUUUAAAACGAAUAACUUAACAUUUCUCUGAAUAAUAUAUAAAUUUCUUUUAUACAGUCCACAUAAAUGCUGCUUUAUUGCUAUAGAAGUUAACCAAAGUAUUUUUUUUAAUAUGUACUGAUUAUAUUUAGUCUGGAACUACAGUGACUCACAUAUUUGUUCA